UACGGGGGGAGCAAGCGUUGUUCGGAUUUACUGGGCGUAAAGGGCGCGUAGGCGGCCACGACAAGUCAGUUGUGAAAUCUCUGGGCUUAACUCAGAACGGUCAACUGAUACUGUCGGGCUAGAGUGCAGAAGGGGCAACUGGAAUUCUUGGUGUAGCGGUGAAAUGCGUAGAUAUCAAGAGGAACACCUGAGGUGAAGACGGGUUGCUGGGCUGACACUGACGCUGAGGCGCGAAAGCCAGGGGAGCAAACGGG
Molecule: ribosomal RNA, 254 nt
Filed under: uncultured bacterium
Lineage: Bacteria
Description: partial 16S ribosomal RNA
Rfam family: Bacterial small subunit ribosomal RNA
Source: RNAcentral